GAUUAAGUUAUUAAGGGCGCACGGUGGAUGCCUUGGCACUAGAAGCCGAUGAAGGACGUUACUAACGACGAUAUGCUUUGGGGAGCUGUAAGUAAGCUUUGAUCCAGAGAUUUCCGAAUGGGGAAACCCAGCAUGAGUUAUGUCAUGUUAUCGAUAUGUGAAUACAUAGCAUAUCAGAAGGCACACCCGGAGAACUGAAACAUCUUAGUAACCGGAGGAAGAGAAAGAAAAUUCGAUUCCCUUAGUAGCGGCGAGCGAAAUGGGAAGAGCCCAAACCAACAAGCUUGCUUGUUGGGGUUGUAGGACACUCUAUACGGAGUUACAAAGGACGACAUUAGACGAAUCAUCUGGAAAGAUGAAUCAAAGAAGGUAAUAAUCCUGUAGUCGAAAAUGUUGUCUCUCUUGAGUGGAUCCUGAGUACGACGGAGCACGUGAAAUUCCGUCGGAAUCUGGGAGGACCAUCUCCUAAGGCUAAAUACUCUCUAGUGACCGAUAGUGAACCAGUACCGUGAGGGAAAGGUGAAAAGCACCCCGGAAGGGGAGUGAAAUAGAACCUGAAACCGUGUGCUUACAAGUAGUCAGAGCCCGUUAAUGGGUGAUGGCGUGCCUUUUGUAGAAUGAACCGGCGAGUUACGAUUUGAUGCAAGGUUAAGCAGUAAAUGUGGAGCCGUAGCGAAAGCGAGUCUGAAUAGGGCGUUUAGUAUUUGGUCGUAGACCCGAAACCAGGUGAUCUACCCUUGGUCAGGUUGAAGUUCAGGUAACACUGAAUGGAGGACCGAACCGACUUACGUUGAAAAGUGAGCGGAUGAACUGAGGGUAGCGGAGAAAUUCCAAUCGAACCUGGAGAUAGCUGGUUCUCUCCGAAAUAGCUUUAGGGCUAGCCUCAAGUGAUGAUUAUUGGAGGUAGAGCACUGUUUGGACGAGGGGCCCCUCUCGGGUUACCGAAUUCAGACAAACUCCGAAUGCCAAUUAAUUUAACUUGGGAGUCAGAACAUGGGUGAUAAGGUCCGUGUUCGAAAGGGAAACAGCCCAGACCACCAGCUAAGGUCCCAAAAUAUAUGUUAAGUGGAAAAGGAUGUGGCGUUGCCCAGACAACUAGGAUGUUGGCUUAGAAGCAGCCAUCAUUUAAAGAGUGCGUAAUAGCUCACUAGUCGAGUGACACUGCGCCGAAAAUGUACCGGGGCUAAACAUAUUACCGAAGCUGUGGAUUGUCCUUUGGACAAUGGUAGGAGAGCGUUCUAAGGGCGUUGAAGCAUGAUCGUAAGGACAUGUGGAGCGCUUAGAAGUGAGAAUGCCGGUGUGAGUAGCGAAAGACGGGUGAGAAUCCCGUCCACCGAUUGACUAAGGUUUCCAGAGGAAGGCUCGUCCGCUCUGGGUUAGUCGGGUCCUAAGCUGAGGCCGACAGGCGUAGGCGAUGGAUAACAGGUUGAUAUUCCUGUACCACCUAUAAUCGUUUUA
Molecule: ribosomal RNA, 1458 nt
Filed under: Staphylococcus aureus
Lineage: Bacteria; Bacillati; Bacillota; Bacilli; Caryophanales; Staphylococcaceae
Description: partial 23S ribosomal RNA
Rfam family: Bacterial large subunit ribosomal RNA
Source: RNAcentral